CUGGCGGCGGCCUACACAUGCAAGUCGAACGGUAACAGAAGAGCUUGCUCUUGCUGACGAGUGGCGGACGGGUGAGUAAUGCAUAGGAAUCUACCCUCUAGAUGGGGAUACCGUAGGGAAACUUACGUUAAUACCGAAUAUGCUCUAAGGAGUAAAGGUGGCCUCUACUUGUAAGCUAUCGCUAGAGGAUGAGCCUAUGUUAGAUUAGCUAGUUGGUGAGGUAAUGGCUCACCAAGGCGACGAUCUAUAGCUGGUUUGAGAGGAUGAUCAGCCACACUGGGACUGAGACACGGCCCAGACUCCUACGGGAGGCAGCAGUGGGGAAUAUUGGACAAUGGGCGCAAGCCUGAUCCAGCCAUGCCGCGUGUGUGAAGAAGGCCCGAGGGUUGUAAAGCACUUUUAGUGAGGAGGAAAGGUUAGUUGCUAAUAUCAGCUAGCUGUGACGUUACUCGCAGAAAAAGCACCGGCUAACUCUGUGCCAGCAGCCGCGGUAAUACAGAGGGUGCAAGCGUUAUUCGGAAUUACUGGGCGUAAAGCGCGCGUAGGCGGAUUAUUAAGUCAGUUGUGAAAGCCCUGGGCUCAACCUAGGAACGGCGAUUGAAACUGGUAGUCUAGAGUUUAGUAGAGGGAAGGGGAAUUUCUGGAGUAGCAGUGAAAUGCGUAGAUAUCAGAAGGAACAUCAGUGGCGAAGGCGCCUUCCUGGACUAAAACUGACGCUGAGGUGCGAAAGCGUGGGGGAGCAAA
RNAcentral lists this ribosomal RNA (744 nucleotides) under uncultured bacterium. RNAcentral's name for it is "bacterial SSU rRNA". It matches the Rfam family "Bacterial small subunit ribosomal RNA", at positions 36 to 772 of the family's 1533-position model. The record is from RNAcentral.